RNAcentral lists this ribosomal RNA (1473 nucleotides) under metagenome. RNAcentral's name for it is "bacterial SSU rRNA". It matches the Rfam family "Bacterial small subunit ribosomal RNA". The record is from RNAcentral.
AGAGUUUGAUCCUGGCUCAGGACGAACGCUGGCGGCGCGCCUAACACAUGCAAGUCGAACGAGAGAGAGGGAGCUUGCUUCCUUGAUCGAGUGGCGAACGGGUGAGUAACGCGUGAGGAACCUGCCUCAAAGAGGGGGACAACAGUUGGAAACGACUGCUAAUACCGCAUAAGCCCACGGCUCGGCAUCGAGCAGAGGGAAAAGGAGCAAUCCGCUUUGAGAUGGCCUCGCGUCCGAUUAGCUAGUUGGUGAGGUAAUGGCCCACCAAGGCGACGAUCGGUAGCCGGACUGAGAGGUUGAACGGCCACAUUGGGACUGAGACACGGCCCAGACUCCUACGGGAGGCAGCAGUGGGGAAUAUUGCACAAUGGGGGAAACCCUGAUGCAGCGACGCCGCGUGGAGGAAGAAGGUCUUCGGAUUGUAAACUCCUGUUGUUGAGGAAGAUAAUGACGGUACUCAACAAGGAAGUGACGGCUAACUACGUGCCAGCAGCCGCGGUAAAACGUAGGUCACAAGCGUUGUCCGGAAUUACUGGGUGUAAAGGGAGCGCAGGCGGGCGAUCAAGUUGGAAGUGAAAUCCAUGGGCUCAACCCAUGAACUGCUUUCAAAACUGAUUGUCUUGAGUAGUGCAGAGGUAGGCGGAAUUCCCGGUGUAGCGGUGGAAUGCGUAGAUAUCGGGAGGAACACCAGUGGCGAAGGCGGCCUACUGGGCACCAACUGACGCUGAGGCUCGAAAGUGUGGGUAGCAAACAGGAUUAGAUACCCUGGUAGUCCACACCGUAAACGAUGAUUACUAGGUGUUGGAGGAUUGACCCCUUCAGUGCCGCAGUUAACACAAUAAGUAAUCCACCUGGGGAGUACGACCGCAAGGUUGAAACUCAAAGGAAUUGACGGGGGCCCGCACAAGCAGUGGAGAAUGUGGUUUAAUUCGACGCAACGCGAAGAACCUUACCAAGUCUUGACAUCCUGCGGCGAUGCUAGAAAUAGUAUUUUCCUUCGGGACGCAGAGACAGGUGGUGCAUGGUUGUCGUCAGCUCGUGUCGUGAGAUGUUGGGUUAAGUCCCGCAACGAGCGCAACCCUUGCCUUUAGUUGCCAGCAUUAAGUUGGGCACUCCAGAGGGACUGCCAGGGAUAACCUGGAGGAAGGUGGGGAUGACGUCAAAUCAUCAUGCCCCUUAUGCUUAGGGCUACACACGUGCUACAAUGGGUGGUACAGAGGGCAGCCAAGUCGUGAGGCGGAGCUAAUCCCUUAAAGCCAUUCUCAGUUCGGAUUGUAGGCUGAAACUCGCCUACAUGAAGCUGGAGUUACUAGUAAUCGCAGAUCAGAAUGCUGCGGUGAAUGCGUUCCCGGGUCUUGUACACACCGCCCGUCACACCACGGGAGUUGGGGGCGCCCGAAGCCGGAUUGCUAACCUUUUGGAAGUGUCCGUCGAAGGUGAAAUCAAUAACUGGGGUGAAGUCGUAACAAGGUA